Mustela putorius furo (domestic ferret) is the source of this 240-nucleotide long non-coding RNA. The record is from Ensembl. NCBI's taxonomy places the organism in Eukaryota, Metazoa, Chordata, Mammalia, Carnivora, Mustelidae.
AUGCGAGUGCGCGUGCGUGAUGAGAGCCACGCCCAUUCUUCCCGGAGCCUGCGCUCCUUCUACUUCACCAGGCAUCGAGCUGCCAAGCUUUACAGCUCCCAACACCUAGAUACCUGUAUUUUUCCAAAGCCUUGGUUUGGGAGUCAUUUCCUGAUGCGUUACAGCUCCUUUGGACUGAGUAUGCUUCCGACGUCAGGGAGCAAGAUGGCAUUGAUCCUUCUGUCUUCUCUUCCCGCUUAA